This 253-nucleotide ribosomal RNA is filed under the name uncultured bacterium. Its description in RNAcentral is "partial 16S ribosomal RNA". It matches the Rfam family "Bacterial small subunit ribosomal RNA", at positions 524 to 776 of the family's 1533-position model. The record is from RNAcentral.
UACGGGGGGGGCAAGCGUUGUUCGGAAUUACUGGGCGUAAAGGGCUCGUAGGCGGCCAACUAAGUCAGACGUGAAAUCCCCAGGCUCAACCUGGGAACUGCGUCUGAUACUGGAUGGCUUGAAUCCGGGAGAGGGAUGCAGAAUUCCAGGUGUAGCGGUGAAAUGCGUAGAUAUCUGGAGGAAUACCGGUGGCGAAGGCGGCAUCCUGGACCGGCAUUGACGCUGAGGAGCGAAAGCUAGGGGAUCAAACGGG